RNAcentral lists this ribosomal RNA (253 nucleotides) under uncultured bacterium. RNAcentral's name for it is "partial 16S ribosomal RNA". It matches the Rfam family "Bacterial small subunit ribosomal RNA", at positions 524 to 776 of the family's 1533-position model. The record is from RNAcentral.
UACGAAGGGGGCUAGCGUUGCUCGGAAUUACUGGGCGUAAAGCGCACGUAGGCGGUCUUUUAAGUCGGGGGUGAAAUCCUGGAGCUCAACUCCAGAACUGCCUUCGAUACUGGAAAGCUCGAGUCCGGGAGAGGUGAGUGGAACUGCGAGUGUAGAGGUGAAAUUCGUAGAUAUUCGCAAGAACACCAGUGGCGAAGGCGGCUCACUGGCCCGGUACUGACGCUGAGGUGCGAAAGCGUGGGGAGCAAACAGG